UACGGGGGGAGCAAGCGUUGUUCGGAUUUACUGGGCGUAAAGGGCGGGUAGGCGGCCACCGCAAGUCAGUUGUGAAAUCUCUGGGCUUAACCCAGAAAGGUCAACUGAUACUGCGGGGCUAGAGUGCAGAAGGGGCAACUGGAAUUCUCGGUGUAGCGGUGAAAUGCGUAGAUAUCGAGAGGAACACCUGCGGCGAAGGCGGGUUGCUGGGCUGACACUGACGCUGAAGCGCGAAAGCUAGGGGAGCGAACGGG
This 254-nucleotide ribosomal RNA is filed under the name uncultured bacterium. Its description in RNAcentral is "partial 16S ribosomal RNA". It matches the Rfam family "Bacterial small subunit ribosomal RNA", at positions 524 to 776 of the family's 1533-position model. The record is from RNAcentral.